Molecule: non-coding RNA, 827 nt
Filed under: Togoperla sp. KW-2014
Lineage: Eukaryota; Metazoa; Arthropoda; Insecta; Plecoptera; Perlidae
Source: RNAcentral
UUAAAGUUUUAUUCUUACUUAUGGAUUAACAUUAAUUUUGGUUUUACAUGUAAAUUUUAGUGUAAAUAGUAAAAUUUUGUCCUAGAUGGUUGAAAUAUUUAUUUAUUAAUAUGGCAGUAUUUAGUCUUAUAAAUUAAGGAAGUUUAGAUUUAGAAAAUUUAUUAGUAUCGGCAAAAGUCGUGCCAGCCGCCGCGGUUACACGGAGGAUGCAAGUUAAUACUUGUUGAUUUAAAGUUAAAUGAUUAAUUAGUUUGAAGAAUUUAAUAACUAUAUUUAUUAGGUGAAAUUUUAAUUUAUUUGUAUUUAUUUCUGAAAUAAUAGAAUGUUGAAGCUGAGAAAAUCAGGAUUUAAACUAGGAUUAGAUACCCUAUUAUUUUGAGUGUAAAAUUGAUUAUAUCGGAGUAGUAAUAGAUAGGUUCUUGAAACUCAAAGAAUUUGGCGGUGUUUUAGUCCUUUCAGAGGAACCUGUUCCAUAAUUGAUACUCCCCGUUUUAUCUUACUUGAUUUUGUGAUUCAGUUUGUAUACCGCCGUCGUCAGAAUGUCCUAAUAGGGUAUGAAUUUUCUUAAAUUUUGAAGAUGUGAGAUGUCAGGUCAAGGUGCAGCUAAUGGUUAAGAGGAAAUGGGUUACAAUAAAGGAAUUUAAACGGAAGGUAGCUUGAAAAAUUGUUGCUUGAAGGUGGAUUUGAUUGUAAUUAUUAAAAGUGAUUAAGUAUGAAUUAUUAAUUGGCUCUAAAACAUGCACACAUCGCCCGUCGCUCUCAUUUGUUAAGGUGAGAUAAGUCGUAACAUAGUAGAUGCACCGGAAGGUGCAUCUGGAAAGUAUUAA